UGGUGUCUCUAACCUCAGGUCUCU
This 24-nucleotide non-coding RNA is filed under the name Mus musculus (house mouse). Lineage: Eukaryota; Metazoa; Chordata; Mammalia; Rodentia; Muridae. The record is from RNAcentral.